RNAcentral lists this ribosomal RNA (460 nucleotides) under uncultured bacterium. RNAcentral's name for it is "partial 16S ribosomal RNA". It matches the Rfam family "Bacterial small subunit ribosomal RNA", at positions 338 to 795 of the family's 1533-position model. The record is from RNAcentral.
CCUACGGGAGGCAGCAGUGAGGAAUAUUGGUCAAUGGACGAGAGUCUGAACCAGCCAAGUAGCGUGAAGGAUGACUGCCCUAUGGGUUGUAAACUUCUUUUAUAUGGGAAUAAAACGUUCCACGUGUGGGAUUUUGUAUGUACCAUAUGAAUAAGGAUCGGCUAACUCCGUGCCAGCAGCCGCGGUAAUACGGAGGAUCCGAGCGUUAUCCGGAUUUAUUGGGUUUAAAGGGAGCGUAGGUGGAUUGUUAAGUCAGUUGUGAAAGUUUGCGGCUCAACCGUAAAAUUGCAGUUGAAACUGGCAGUCUUGAGUACAGUAGAGGUGGGCGGAAUUCGUGGUGUAGCGGUGAAAUGCGUAGAUAUCACGAAGAACUCCGAUUGCGAAGGCAGUUCACUGGACUGCAACUGACACUGAGGCUCGAAAGUGUGGGUAUCAAACAGGAUUAGAUACCCUUGUAGUC